RNAcentral lists this long non-coding RNA (559 nucleotides) under Dermacentor andersoni. Its description in RNAcentral is "uncharacterized LOC126536519". The record is from RNAcentral. Lineage: Eukaryota; Metazoa; Arthropoda; Arachnida; Ixodida; Ixodidae.
AAAUGGCGUGCCCGGAGUGUACACAUCGUGACAGCGCUCCGCCUUCAAAUCGAGGGCCUUUUGCAAGGCGGAUGGACGGCUCAUAUAAAAGUUAGUCAGCAUGAAGCAAUUGCAUGGGAACCGGCUGAUUGUCUUGGGCCUACACAUUGCUCAAAAGACAGUGAAGGUGUCUGAGCCGACAGGUAGAAAACAAGCAGAUGGCUACAGCGAUCAGUGAAUAAAUGGCUUCAUCUAUGAUGGCUCGCCAUAGGACAUUGGAAUGGAGCUACACAAAGGCAUCACCAGCCUCGCCUGUGCCCUGGAACAUUGGUUUGAAUAAGACUGUUCUUCAGUGUAGAACGACCACAAGACUUGUCACCACUUACAAGGCAUAGUGCAAGCUAUAAAUAUUGUACAGGUGGCUAGAAUAAAUGACCCUCCAUGCAGUCACUCUUCCUGUAUCUGUGGUAAAUGGGACCAUUUCACGCAGAACACUCACACGUGAUUAUGCGUUUUCUCUCAAAGUUGCUAUGCCAUGCAUUUGGAAACACAUUACGUAUUGUAUGCACACCGUACAUAA